This 329-nucleotide ribosomal RNA is filed under the name uncultured eukaryote. RNAcentral's name for it is "partial 18S ribosomal RNA". It matches the Rfam family "Eukaryotic small subunit ribosomal RNA", at positions 1470 to 1796 of the family's 1831-position model. The record is from RNAcentral.
CCCUUAGAUGUUCUGGGCCGCACGCGCGCUACACUGAUGCAUUCAACGAGUCUAAAACCUGCUCUGAUAGGGGUGGGUAAUCUUUUGAAUGUGCAUCGUGAUUGGGAUAGAUGAUUGCAAUUUUUCAUCUUCAACGAGGAAUGCCUAGUAAACGCAAGUCAUCAGCUUGCAUUGAUUACGUCCCUGCUCUUUGUACACACCGCCCGUCGCUCCUACCGAUUGAAUGAUCCGAUGAAUAUCAUGGAUUGAGGAUGUAAGCAGGUUCGCCUGUCUUCAUCUUCGAGAAGUGAAGUAAAUCUUAUCAUUUAGAGGAAGGAGAAGUCGUAACA